This 253-nucleotide ribosomal RNA is filed under the name uncultured bacterium. RNAcentral describes it as "partial 16S ribosomal RNA". It matches the Rfam family "Bacterial small subunit ribosomal RNA", at positions 524 to 776 of the family's 1533-position model. The record is from RNAcentral.
UACGUAGGGUGCAAGCGUUGUCCGGAAUUAUUGGGCGUAAAGAGCUCGUAGGCGGUCUGUCGCGUCGGAUGUGAAAAUCAGGGCUCAACCCUGGACCUGCAUUCGAUACGGGCAGACUAGAGUUCGGCAGGGGAGACUGGAAUUCCUGGUGUAGCGGUGAAAUGCGCAGAUAUCAGGAGGAACACCGGUGGCGAAGGCGGGUCUCUGGGCCGAAACUGACGCUGGAGGAGCGAAAGCUAGGGGAGCAAACGGG